This 1116-nucleotide long non-coding RNA is filed under the name Gadus morhua (Atlantic cod). RNAcentral's name for it is "lncRNA (ENSGMOG00000031670.1)". Lineage: Eukaryota; Metazoa; Chordata; Actinopteri; Gadiformes; Gadidae. The record is from RNAcentral.
AUGACCCGGCGUUUCCCCAUAACCCUGUCUGUCCUUAUAAACGCGUCUGUCCAAAUAGGCCUGUGUGUCACCUUUAACUCGUCCGUCCUCAUAAGCCUGUGUGUCCCCAUUAACCCGUCUGUCCACAUAAGUCUGUGUGCCCCCAUUAACCAGUCUGUCCCCAUUAACCCGUCUGUCCAAAUAGGCCUGUGUGUCCCCCUUAACCCGUCCGUCCUCAUAAGCUUGUGUGUCCCCAUUAACCCGUCUGUCCUUAUAAACCUGUGUGUCUUCAUAACUCUUUGUGUUCCCAUGACCCUGCGUUUCCCCAUUACCCUGUCUGUCCUUAUAAACCUGUGUGUCCCCAAUAACCCGCCUGUCCCCAUUAACCUGUGUGUCCCCAUUAACCCGUCUGUCCAAAUAGGCCUGUGUGUCUCCUUUAACCCGUCUGUCCACAUAGGCCUCUGUGUUCUCAUAAGCCCGAGUGUCCCCAUUUACCCGUCUGUCCUCAUAACCCUGUCUGUCCUCAUAAACCCGUCUGUCCCCAUAACCCUGUGUGUCCCCAUGAACCCGCACGUCCUCGCAUCUGCCGGUGUUUUGGUUGCCGUGACAACGUGCAGGCACGUGGCGUGGGGGGUCCCCGUACAUCUGGUCCGCCAUGGCCCGGAUGUUGUCGGCGUAACUCUGAUCGGGCGCGACCGGGUCCCGCCCACGAUCGCCACUACGGGCGCGCCCGUCGCCGGGGGCUUGCCCGGCACGCAGGGCCGAACGCCGGCCCCCAUUAUCCGGGGUGCGCGACCGCGCGUGGGGGCGUGUCGCGUCCCGGUUCAGGUUCCCGGUGGCGGCGGCGGCGGCGGCGGGCCGGUGCAGGCUGCCCCACGUAUGGCUGUGCGCCAGGGGGCCGACGUCGUCAUGACGACGCGGCUGUGCCGUACCAGAGGCGGUUUGGCCCUGGCCGAGGCCGUAGGUGUACCUGGUGUGCGUUUCCCCGGCAACCCCCCCCCGCCGCCGGUUACCGUGGGGAACGGGGUCGGAGGCCCGCCUCCUCAGCAGAGGGAGGAGGGGGGAAGGGCGGAGGGGGGGGGGCUGCUCGGUUUGCUGUUGUUGUUGUUGCCGUACGCUGCGGAGGAGGUCACCUGA